This 250-nucleotide ribosomal RNA is filed under the name uncultured prokaryote. RNAcentral describes it as "partial 16S ribosomal RNA". It matches the Rfam family "Bacterial small subunit ribosomal RNA", at positions 524 to 773 of the family's 1533-position model. The record is from RNAcentral.
UACGUAGGGGGCAAGCGUUAUCCGGAUUUACUGGGUGUAAAGGGAGCGUAGACGGCAAUGUAAGUCUGAAGUGAAAGCCCGGGGCUCAACUCCGGAACUGCUUUGGAAACUAUAUAGCUAGAGUGUAGGAGAGGUAAGUGGAAUUCCUAGUGUAGCGGUGAAAUGCGUAGAUAUUAGGAGGAACACCGGCGGCGAAGGCGGCUUACUGGACUGUAACUGACGUUGAGGCACGAAAGCGUAGGGAGCAAAC